Molecule: ribosomal RNA, 525 nt
Filed under: uncultured bacterium
Lineage: Bacteria
Description: partial 16S ribosomal RNA
Rfam family: Bacterial small subunit ribosomal RNA
Source: RNAcentral
GACGAACGCUGGCGGCGUGCCUAAUACAUGCAAGUCGAGCGCAGGAAACUGACGGAACUCUUCGGAGGGAAGGCAGUGGAAUGAGCGGCGGACGGGUGAGUAACACGUAAGGAACCUGCCUCAAGGAUUGGGAUAACUCCGAGAAAUCGGAGCUAAUACCGGAUAGUUCAACGGACCGCAUGGUCCGCUGAUGAAAGGCGCUCCGGCGUCACCUUGAGAUGGCCUUGCGGUGCAUUAGCUAGUUGGGGGGGUAACGGCCCACCAAGGCGACGAGGCAUAGCCGACCGGGGAGGGUGAUCGGCAACACUGGGACGGAGACACGGCCCAGACUCCUACGAGAGGCAGCAGUAGGGAAUCUUCCACAAUGGACGAAAGUCUGAUGGAGCAACGCCGCGUGAGUGAUGAAGGUUUUCGGAUCGUAAAACUCUGUUGUAAGGGAAGAACACGCACGAGAGGAAAUGCUCGUACCUUGACGGUACCUUACGAGAAAGCCACGGCUAACUACGUGCCAGCCGCCGCCAGUAA